This 253-nucleotide ribosomal RNA is filed under the name uncultured bacterium. RNAcentral describes it as "partial 16S ribosomal RNA". It matches the Rfam family "Bacterial small subunit ribosomal RNA", at positions 524 to 776 of the family's 1533-position model. The record is from RNAcentral.
CACGUAGGGCGCGAGCGUUGUCCGGAAUUAUUGGGCGUAAAGAGCUCGUAGGCGGCCUGUUGCGUCCGCUGUGAAAGCCCGGGGCUUAACCCCGGGUCGGCAGUGGAUACGGGCAGGCUAGAGGUAGGUAGGGGAGAAUGGAAUUCCCGGUGUAGCGGUGAAAUGCGCAGAUAUCGGGAGGAACACCGGUGGCGAAGGCGGUUCUCUGGACAGUUCCUGACGCUGAGGCGCGAAGGCCAGGGGAGCAAACGGG